Molecule: RNA transcript, 3525 nt
Organism: Onychostruthus taczanowskii (white-rumped snowfinch)
Lineage: Eukaryota; Metazoa; Chordata; Aves; Passeriformes; Passeridae
Gene: PGPEP1
Gene name: pyroglutamyl-peptidase I
Exons: 6
Source: RefSeq, a predicted model, not a curated record
CCGCCCGGUCCGCGCCUUUGCGGCGGCACCGCCCGGGACGGGACGCGCCGGGACGGGACGAGACGCGCUCCGGACCCUCCGGUACCGCGGCCGCGCUUCGUGCUCCCCCCACAACCAAGCGGGGAACCCCCGCGAGCCUCAAGGUGAGCGUUUUGUUUAAUCAACCCCCCCCCGGAAUCCCGCGCUGAGGCGGGCGAGCGGGAGCCCUUCGGGCUGCGCCGCGCACGGAGAAUCCCGGUGAUCGGUAACGGGUGAAGGGCUCCAAGGCCGUCCCAACGCGGGACUUCCGCCGCGGCGGCGCGGCGGCGGCGGGACGGGACGGACGGGACGGGACGGGACGGACGGGACGGAGCCGCGAUGGAGAAGCCGCGGCGGGCCGUGGUGGUGACGGGGUUUGGGCCGUUUGGAGAACACGCUGUGAAUGCCAGCUGGAUUGCAGUUCAGGAGCUGGAGAAGCUGGGGCUGAGGAAUGACGUGGAUCUGCAUGUCUAUGAGGUCCCUGUUGAGUACCAGACCGUGCAGAGACUCAUUCCUGCCUUGUGGAAGAAGCACAGUCCCCAACUGGUGGUCCACGUGGGAGUGUCGGGCAUGGCCACCACUGUCACCCUGGAGAAGUGUGGCCACAACGUGGGCUACAAGGGGCUGGACAACUGUCGCUUCUGCCCGGGCUCCCAGUGCUGCGUGGAGGGAGGCCCCGAGUGCAUCGACUCCAUCAUCGACAUGGACGCUGUGUGCAGGAGGGUCUCGGCACUGGGGCUGGACGUCACUGUCACCAUCUCCAAGGAUGCUGGCAGGUACCUCUGUGACUUCACCUACUACACCUCCUUGUACCAGAGCCGUGGGAGGUCAGCAUUUGUCCACGUGCCUCCCCUGGGAAAACCUUACUCUGCAGAACAGCUGGGCCGGGCCCUGCAGGCCAUCAUAGAGGAAAUGCUGGAUUUUUUGGAGCAUUCUGAAGACAAAAUCAAUUGUCAACAUGAACACUGAGCAGCCUGGCCAGGAGCUCUCCUAGUAUUGCACUUCUAAAAUUUUCCCUGCUCUGAUGAAGUAUUGGGGAAAAGAAAAAACAAAACAAAAAAAAAAAAAAUCAAGCAACAGUUCCAGACCAAGAAUUGGAGACUUAAAAAAAAAAAAAAAAAAAAAAAAAAAAGGAAAAUUCUACAAAUUCUGCUUAGAAAUGAACUUUUUUUUUUUUUUUUAAUUGUUGUUGAAUCUGUGAGUUUCAGCCUGAGCAACAAAGGAUUCAGAAUCUCUUCUCUAGAACAGCUGCAGCUCCUGAAGGGUUUGUGCUGGGAGCUUCCAGGAUCCUCACCUGGAGGUUCCUCACCUCACCUGGACUCAGGUGCAUGGAAUUGCUCACCCAACCCUCCCGUGGCUAAUUUUUGAGGUGAAAGGUUUGCUUUCAGUUGGUUUUGGGUUUGUUUCCCCCCAGUGUUGACCCAAAUUCGGGGUGAUGAUGUGCAAGGACAGCUGGGGAGGUGUGGGCUUGGCUUGGAGAGCAGAGUUUGGUGGCUGUGAGGAGCCUGAAGCUGCUUUGCUGGACUGGAAAAUGAUUUUAGGCACUGAUUCCUCACCUCCUCUAGCUGCAGUAGAAGGGAUGUGUCUGGGGUUGCUUUUGGAACCCAAAUCCAGCUGGAUUUUUUUUUAUUUUUGGAUCCCAAAUCUCUUUUUUCCUGCCACCUCCCUUCCUCAAGGACCUGCUGUACCAAACACCUCGGUUCAAAUGUGUCUCAAACCAAUCAUUGGUGGGUGAAGAGCUUUGCUGAGGGCCACUUUCCCCAGGGGAGAUCUUCAUCCUGGUGCUCCACGCUGUUUUUGAGGUGAAGCUUCAGUAAUUUUGGAUUUCCUCAGCUGCAAAUUCCCCCUCGUGUUCCAGGUUAGGAGAGCAAUGUCUAACUGAGAUCCCAAUUCCACCUGGAUUGGUGUGGAGGCAUAAAAAUGCAGAUGGAAAGCUACAUAACCCCUGAAAAAUCAAAUGGCAGAUCUUCAAGCCAAUCCCACUGCCUGGAAACCAGAGGCAGUGAUUGGAAAUGAAGGAAUUUUGGCUUUGAGUGAGGAUUCCAGGCUCUUUCCUGGAGUUCCCUUCCCAGAAGCUGCUCGUGGGGGCUUCCCCAGGAAUUCUUUUGGGGAAGGGCACCUGCAGCAUCUCAGCAGGUGAUGCUGGUCCUGUGUGGGGAAGAUUUGCUGCCAAAUUUUGAGAUUGCAGCCAAAAAAAAACCCAGCUGAAGUUGGAGCAGACACAAAACUGGGAGCUGAGGCCUCGUGGAGAGGCCGUUUGGAUGAAGAACUCUGUGAUGCUUUUACAAAUAGAUAGAAAUAUAUAUAUAUAUAUAAAUAUAUAUAUAUAUAAAACCAACAUUUCAAAGGUUUUAAAGCCCAUGAUUUUGAAUUUCUCUGGUGCUUGACUGGCUCUGCUAUUGUAACUCUCAGUGAGAGCUGCCCUGAGCUUGGCCAGGAGAAGUCUGGUGACAAAACCACUCCUUGUAACCCUUGAGAGGGGGCAAAAACUCUGCAGCUGGAGGGCUCUGCUGAGGGCACCUGAGCAGGAAGAUUUUUUUGGAUAGAUCCAAGGAAAUUCCUGCUCUGUUCUCCAUCCAAGCCUUCCUGCUCAGAGGAAUUUGCCUUCAGGUGAAAUAUUGUCAUUCCCAUCGACUCCGAGGUAGCACUUGUCAGAUUUCCUGAUUAGUAAUUUAUUUUAUUUAAUGUUUUGUUGAAAUCUUCAUGUUUUGACACAGUUUUUUGGGUUGUUUUUUUUUUUUGUGAUUAGUUGAGUUCCUUAUCCCCAUAGGAUUUAUUCCUUUGUUGGUGGGAAGUUUUUUGUCCUGGGUGUUUCGUAGCUGCUAAAUUUGGGGGAGAGGAAAUAUCCCACAGGGCUUGGUGAUGGAGCAAUUCCCAGAAAAAAAAAAAACAAAAAAACCAAAAAAACCCUGCUUAAUUCACCUCUGAUGUCACCGUGGGUGAAAUGGAAGUGGGAAAUCCACAGAUGGGUGAGGCCACACCGAAAUUCCAGGGGUGGAACCUCAGCAGGGGCAGGGAGGGGGACCCGGGUGGGAUCAGCAUCUCCAGGUGAGAUGUUCCCUGUCCAUCCCUGGCUGUGCACCCCUGGGUGGGGCUGGAGGUGCCCAGGGUGAGGCUGGAGAUGCUCUGGAUGGGCUGAAGGUCCCCAGGGUGGGGCUGGAGGUCCCUGAAUGGUGCUGAGGUGCCCCUGAAUGGUGCUGACGUCCCCAGGGUGAGGCUGGAGGUGCCCUGGAUGGUGCUGGAGGUGCCCAAGGUGUGGCUGGAGGUCCCCAGGGUGAGGCUGGAAGUGCCCCUGGUGGUGCUGGAGGUGCCUGGAUGGUGCUGAGGUGCCCAGGGUGAAGCUGGAGGUGCCCAGGGUGAGACUGGAGAUGCCCUGGAUGGGAUGACAGUCCCCAGGGUGAGGCUGGAGGUCCCCGUUGUGUCCCUGGAGGUGCCCAGGGUGUCCCUGGAUGUCCCCAUGGUGUCCCUGGAGGUCCCCAUGGUGUCCCUGGAUGUCCCCAGGGUGUC